CAGCCGCCACGGGAAUACGAAGGGUGCAAGCGUUACUCGGAAUUACUGGGCGUAAAGCGUGCGUAGGUGGUGGUUUAAGUCCGUUGUGAAAGCCCUGGGCUCAACCUGGGAAUUGCAGUGGAUACUGGAUCACUAGAGUGUGGUAGAGGAUAGUGGAAUUUCCGGUGUAGCAGUGAAAUGCGUAGAGAUCGGAAGGAACAUCUGUGGCGAAGGCGACUAUCUGGGCCAACACUGACACUGAGGCACGAAAGCGUGGGGAGCAAACAGGAUUAGAUACCCGAGUAGUCCCUGUCUCUUAUAC
This 301-nucleotide ribosomal RNA is filed under the name uncultured bacterium. RNAcentral describes it as "partial 16S ribosomal RNA". It matches the Rfam family "Bacterial small subunit ribosomal RNA", at positions 509 to 807 of the family's 1533-position model. The record is from RNAcentral.